CCUACGGGAGGCAGCAGUGGGGAAUAUUGGACAAUGGGCGCAAAGCCUGAUCCAGCCAUGCCGCGUGUGUGAAGAAAGGUCUUCGGAUUGUAAAGCACUUUAAGUUGGGAGGAAGGUGUUUAGAUUAAUACUCCUGCGNAUUUUGACGUUACCGACA
This 157-nucleotide ribosomal RNA is filed under the name uncultured Gammaproteobacteria bacterium. RNAcentral describes it as "partial 16S ribosomal RNA". It matches the Rfam family "Bacterial small subunit ribosomal RNA", at positions 338 to 483 of the family's 1533-position model. Lineage: Bacteria; Pseudomonadati; Pseudomonadota; Gammaproteobacteria. The record is from RNAcentral.